Molecule: long non-coding RNA, 799 nt
Organism: Metopolophium dirhodum (rose-grain aphid)
Lineage: Eukaryota; Metazoa; Arthropoda; Insecta; Hemiptera; Aphididae
Exons: 3
Source: RefSeq, a predicted model, not a curated record
GCUAAUUAUUCGUGUUUAUAGAUAUGUCUAAAUUGUUCACAUAAUAUUAAUUAUUUUAUUUAUAAAUUUAGUCUGAAGAAGAUGAGCCUUUUGAGUCUUAAAACACAGCAAGUACUUACAUGUAUAUGAAGAUUAAUAAAAAGUUUAAAAAGAAGACAUCGUUGUAAAAUUACUACAUUCAUGAGAUAAUCCAGCUGAUCGACUAACAAAAGUUCAAAAACACAAUUGAUUUGAUGGAUUCAAAUAUUCAAUUGGGAAGGACUAUGUAAUUGUACCCUGACUUCUUCUAACUUGCUAAAGUUGUACAUUGCCGUGGACGUAUAAAAUAUUGACAAUUAUCUGUCAGUCGCAGAGAGUCCACCACCAUAUAAUUCAAAACUGGAUGUAAAUACGAAUCAUGGGCCAUUCUUCGACAAUUGAUAACAACCAAUUUUUACUCUAACAGACGGAGUUACUAACCGUAAAAACAAAAUGUAAAAUAUAUACAUUAAUACGUAAUAUUUAGUUGUAGCCACGGACAUAAAUAAGUUCUUAAUAGUUAUAGCAAUUAGGAGACUUAUAGGUUAAAUAUAUAAUCAUGCUUCCACAUAAGUACAAACUACAAAGUUACUACUUUUUUUCGCUAUUUUAUUUUAUUAUUAUUAUUAAAUAUGACAUUAUACAUAUGUAUAAACUAUACAUACAGUAAAAAGGAAAAAAAGGGAAUUAUAAAUAUAAUUAUUAAUUACAUAAAUUUAAAUUUAAAUACAGUUAUUAAGCUAAUCAUAAGAUUAUAUUAUGUUAAUUAUAUAUAGGUAUA